This 65-nucleotide transfer RNA is filed under the name Thaparocleidus varicus. RNAcentral's name for it is "tRNA-Lys". It matches the Rfam family "tRNA". Rfam says of the family: Transfer RNA (tRNA) molecules are approximately 80 nucleotides in length. Their secondary structure includes four short double-helical elements and three loops (D, anti-codon, and T loops). Lineage: Eukaryota; Metazoa; Platyhelminthes; Monogenea; Dactylogyridea; Ancylodiscoididae. The record is from RNAcentral.
GUUACUAUAACUUAUUUAUAAAGUGUUAGAUUCUUACUCUAAUUAAGUUGUAUCAACUAGUAAUA